This 253-nucleotide ribosomal RNA is filed under the name uncultured bacterium. RNAcentral's name for it is "partial 16S ribosomal RNA". It matches the Rfam family "Bacterial small subunit ribosomal RNA", at positions 524 to 776 of the family's 1533-position model. The record is from RNAcentral.
UACGAAGGGGGCUAGCGUUGUUCGGAAUUACUGGGCGUAAAGCGCACGCAGGCGGAUUGAUAAGUCAGGGGUGAAAUCCCACGGCUCAACCGUGGAACUGCUUGGUAUACUGCGGGUCUUGAGCCAUCUAGGGGCAACCGGAACAAACGGUGGAGCGGUGAAAUGCGUAGAUAUCGAGAGGAACACCAGUGGCGAAGGCGGGUCCCUGGACAACACCUGACACUGAGGCACGAAAGCUAGGGGAGCAAACAGG